GUGCCAGCCGCCGCGGUAAUACGUAGGCAGCAAGCGUUGUUCGGAGUUACUGGGCGUAAAGGGUGUGUAGGCGGUCUUCUAAGUUUGGUGUGAAAUCUCCCGGCUUAACCGGGAGGGUGCGCCGAAAACUGGAAGGCUAGAGUGCGGGAAGGGAGAGUAGAAUUCCUGGUGUAGCGGUGAAAUGCGUAGAUAUCAGGAGGAAUACCGGUGGUGCAGACGGCUCUCUGGACCGCAACUGACGCUGAAACACGAAAGCGUGGGUAGCAAACAGGAUUAGAUACCCUCGUAGUCC
RNAcentral lists this ribosomal RNA (292 nucleotides) under uncultured bacterium. Its description in RNAcentral is "partial 16S ribosomal RNA". It matches the Rfam family "Bacterial small subunit ribosomal RNA", at positions 505 to 796 of the family's 1533-position model. The record is from RNAcentral.